AAGUCGUAACAAGGUUUCCGUAGGUGAACCUGCGGAAGGAUCAUUGUCGAAACCUGCCCAGCAGAACGACCCGCGAACAAGUGAUGCCCCGGUUGCGCCGGACGGGCUGCGGAGACGCCCCCCGUCCGGCAAAAAACGAACCCCCGGCGCGGAUCCGCGCCAAGGAAAACGAAAAAAACGGAUCGAGCGCCCCGCAAGGACGCGCUCCCCGAGCUCUUAACGACUCUCGGCAACGGAUAUCUUGGCUCUCGCAUCGAUGAAGAACGUAGCGAAAUGCGAUACUUGGUGUGAAUUGCAGAAUCCCGUGAAUCAUCGAGUCUUUGAACGCAAGUUGCGCCCUAGGCCGUCAGGCCGAGGGCACGCCUGCCUGGGUGUCACGCACUGAGUCGCCUCCACCCGCUGAUUUUAAGCGUAAUCGGUUGGGAGCGGACAAUGGCCCCCCGUGCCCCCGCGCGCGGCCGGCCCAAAUCGAGGCCCCCCGGAGGCCGACGUCACGAUCCGUGGUGGUUGUAAAAGACACGCCCUAGAAACCGGAUCCCGUGCACGCCGCGCCGCACCCCGGGAGGCCACAGCGACCCCCACGGGCCGUCCCCGGACGGCACCCACUCUGCGACCCCAGGUCAGGCGGGGCC
Molecule: ribosomal RNA, 632 nt
Filed under: Corydalis flavula
Lineage: Eukaryota; Viridiplantae; Streptophyta; Magnoliopsida; Ranunculales; Papaveraceae
Description: eukaryotic LSU rRNA
Rfam family: 5.8S ribosomal RNA (bases 222-377)
Source: RNAcentral